This 373-nucleotide ribosomal RNA is filed under the name uncultured organism. Its description in RNAcentral is "bacterial SSU rRNA". It matches the Rfam family "Bacterial small subunit ribosomal RNA", at positions 526 to 896 of the family's 1533-position model. The record is from RNAcentral.
CGAGGGGAGCAAGCGUUGUUCGGAUUUACUGGGCGUAAAGGGCGCGUAGGCGGCGCAACAAGUCACCUGUGAAAUCUCCGGGCUUAACCCGGAGCGGCCAAGUGAUACUGUCGUGCUAGAGUGCGGAAGGGGCUACUGGAAUUCUCGGUGUAGCGGUGAAAUGCGUAGAUAUCGAGAGGAACACCUGCGGCGAAGGCGGGUAGCUGGGCCGACACUGACGCUGAGGCGCGAAAGCCAGGGGAGCGAACGGGAUUAGAUACCCCGGUAGUCCUGGCCUUAAACGAUGGAUACUUGGUGUCCGGGGUUACAUAGUCCCCGGGUGCCGGCGCUAACGCAUUAAGUAUCCCGCCUGGGGAGUACGGUCGCAAGACUG